Molecule: ribosomal RNA, 165 nt
Filed under: uncultured Bdellovibrio sp.
Lineage: Bacteria; Pseudomonadati; Bdellovibrionota; Bdellovibrionia; Bdellovibrionales; Pseudobdellovibrionaceae
Description: partial 16S ribosomal RNA
Rfam family: Bacterial small subunit ribosomal RNA
Source: RNAcentral
GGCAGCAGCAGGGAAUAUUGCACAAUGGAGGAAAACUCUGAUGCAGCGACGCCGCGUGAGUGAUGAAGGCCUUCGGGUCGUAAAGCUCUGUCGCAGGGGUAAUAACACAAUGAAUGUACCCUGUAAGAAAGGAUCGGCUAACUUCGUGCCAGCAGCCGCGGUAAU